AGUGAACGCUGGUGGUAGGCCUAACACAUGCAAGUCGAACGGCAGCACAGUAAGAGCUAGCUCUUACGGGUGGCGAGUGGCGGACGGGUGAGGAAUACAUCGGAAUCUACUUUUUCGUGGGGGAUAACGUAGGGAAACUUACGCUAAUACCGCAUACGACCUACGGGUGAAAGCAGGGGAUCUUCGGACCUUGCGCGAUUGAAUGAGCCGAUGUCGGAUUAGCUAGUUGGCGGGGUAAAGGCCCACCAAGGCGACGAUCCGUAGCUGGUCUGAGAGGAUGAUCAGCCACACUGGAACUGAGACACGGUCCAGACUCCUACGGGAGGCAGCAGUGGGGAAUAUUGGACAAUGGGCGCAAGCCUGAUCCAGCCAUACCGCGUGGGUGAAGAAGGCCUUCGGGUUGUAAAGCCCUUUUGUUGGGAAAGAAAAGCAGCAGGUUAAUACCCCGCUGUUCUGACGGUACCCAAAGAAUAAGCACCGGCUAACUUCGUG
RNAcentral lists this ribosomal RNA (492 nucleotides) under uncultured bacterium. Its description in RNAcentral is "partial 16S ribosomal RNA". It matches the Rfam family "Bacterial small subunit ribosomal RNA", at positions 29 to 507 of the family's 1533-position model. The record is from RNAcentral.